Molecule: small RNA, 758 nt
Filed under: Pan troglodytes (chimpanzee)
Lineage: Eukaryota; Metazoa; Chordata; Mammalia; Primates; Hominidae
Description: processed transcript
Source: RNAcentral
GGGGACUGCGGGCGGCGCUGUGUCCGUCGCCAUGACAGAUCAGACCUAUUGUGACCGCCUGGUGCAGGACACGCCUUUCCUGACAGGCCACGGGCGCUUGAGUGAGCAGCAGGUGGACAGGAUCAUCCUCCAGCUGAACCGUUACUACCCACAGAUCCUUACCAACAAGGAGGCGGAAAAGGUGCUGAGGAGUUCCGGAACCCUAAGGCAUCCUUGCGUGUGCGGCUCUGUGACCUCCUGAGCCACCUGCAGCGGAGCGGUGAGCGGGACUGCCAGGAGUUCUACCGAGCCCUGUAUAUCCAUGCCCAGCCCCUGCACAGCGCCUGCCCAGCCGCCACGCUCUGCAGAACUCAGAUUGCACAGAGCUAGACUCGGGCAGCCAGAGCGGCGAGCUGAGUAACAGGGGACCCAUGAGCUUCCUGGCUGGCCUGGGCCUUGCUGUGGGACUGGCCCUGCUCCUGUACUGCUAUCCGCCAGACCCCAAGGGCCUGCCAGGGACCCGGCGCGUCCUCGGUUUCUCGCCUGUCAUCAUCGACAGACAUGUCAGCCGCUACCUGCUGGCCUUCCUGGCAGAUGACCUAGGGGGGCUCUGACAGACCCCGGACCCAGGGCCUCACCUGCCACUCAACCAAAGAGUCCUCGAGCCGGCCCGCCAAGGGGACUGCUGCUUCUUUUUCUAAAUGCAUAUUUUUCAUUAUUUAUAAUUUGUGUAAAAAACACACCUUCACCUUACAAGGUGCUGACCAUAUUAAAUGUUC